UUUAAAGAGAGUUUGAUCCUGGCUCAGGACGAACGCUGGCGGCGUGCCUAAUACAUGCAAGUCGAACGAACGGAGGAAGAGCUUGCUCUUCCAAAGUUAGUGGCGGACGGGUGAGUAACACGUGGGCAACCUGCCUGUAAGUUGGGGAUAACUCCGGGAAACCGGGGCUAAUACCGAAUGAUAAAAUGUGGCGCAUGCCACGCUUUUGAAAGAUGGUUUCGGCUAUCGCUUACAGAUGG
Molecule: ribosomal RNA, 239 nt
Filed under: Listeria monocytogenes
Lineage: Bacteria; Bacillati; Bacillota; Bacilli; Caryophanales; Listeriaceae
Description: partial 16S ribosomal RNA
Rfam family: Bacterial small subunit ribosomal RNA
Source: RNAcentral